RNAcentral lists this ribosomal RNA (480 nucleotides) under uncultured bacterium. RNAcentral's name for it is "bacterial SSU rRNA". It matches the Rfam family "Bacterial small subunit ribosomal RNA", at positions 29 to 506 of the family's 1533-position model. The record is from RNAcentral.
UUGAACGCUGGCGGAAUGCUUUACACAUGCAAGUCGAGCGGCAGCGCGGGGCAACCUGGCGGCGAGCGGCGAACGGGUGAGUAACAUAUCGGAACGUACCCUAUCGUGGGGGAUAACACGUCGAAAGACGUGCUAAUACCGCAUACGACCUGAGGGUGAAAGCGGGGGAUCGCAAGACCUCGCGCGACAGGAGCGGCCGAUAUCGGAUUAGCUAGUUGGUGAGGUAAAGGCUCACCAAGGCGACGAUCCGUAGCUGGUCUGAGAGGACGGCCAGCCACACUGGAACUGAGACACGGUCCAGACUCCUACGGGAGGCAGCAGUGGGGAAUUUUGGACAAUGGGGGCAACCCUGAUCCAGCCAUUCCGUGUGAGUGAAGAAGGCCUUCGGGUUGUAAAACUCUUUCAGCCGGAAAGAAAUCGCACUGGUUAAUACCUUGUGCGGAUGACGGUACCGGAAGAAGAAGCACCGGCUAACUACGU